AUUGAACGCUGGCGGCAGGCCUAACACAUGCAAGUCGAGCGGAUGAAGGGAGCUUGCUCCUGGAUUCAGCGGCGGACGGGUGAGUAAUGCCUAGGAAUCUGCCUGGCAGUGGGGGAUAACGUCCGGAAACGGGCGCUAAUACCGCAUACGUCCUGAGGGAGAAAGUGGGGGAUCUUCGGACCUCACGCUAUCAGAUGAGCCUAGGUCGGAUUAGCUAGUUGGUGGGGUAAAGGCCUACCAAGGCGACGAUCCGUAACUGGUCUGAGAGGAUGGUCAGUCACCCUGGAACUGAGACACGGUCCAGACUCCUACGGGAGGCAGCAGUGGGGAAUAUUGGACAAUGGGCGAAAGCCUGAUCCAGCCAUGCCGCGUGUGUGAAGAAGAUCUUCGGAUUGUAAAGCACUUUAAGUUGGGAGGAAGGGCAGUAAGUUAAUACCUUGCUGUUUUGACGUUACCAACAGAAUAAGCACCGGCUAACUUCGUG
Molecule: ribosomal RNA, 484 nt
Filed under: uncultured bacterium
Lineage: Bacteria
Description: partial 16S ribosomal RNA
Rfam family: Bacterial small subunit ribosomal RNA
Source: RNAcentral